GAUCCUGGCUCAGGACGAACGCUGGCGGCGUGCUUAACACAUGCAAGUCGAACGAGAGGACAAGAGAAGCUUGCUUCUUUGGAAUCGAGUGGCAAACGGGUGAGUAACACGUAAACAACCUGCCUUCAGGAUGGGGACAACAGACGGAAACGACUGCUAAUACCGAAUACGCUUGGGAGACCGCAUGAUCUACCAAGGAAAGGUGGCCUCUACCUGUAAGCUAUCGCCUGAAGAGGGUUUNCGU
Molecule: ribosomal RNA, 244 nt
Filed under: uncultured bacterium
Lineage: Bacteria
Description: partial 16S ribosomal RNA
Rfam family: Bacterial small subunit ribosomal RNA
Source: RNAcentral